CCUUGCGAGACUUGCGUGUAUCACGAUUAUACCCAUCAUGAAACUCAGCUGCAUCGGUUUAAAACUUGUGAACAUAAGGGAGAGUGCAGUCAAAAUUUAUACAUCUGCUGUCACGAUUAUCAAUGCAUAGAUAAACUAUUUGGAACAAAUUUUCAAAGCACUCUGUCGACAAUUCAAUCAACAACCGGUGCAAGCAUCACAUCAAAAACAACGGACCGAGCAAGUACUACAAAGGCGCAUGCA
Molecule: long non-coding RNA, 243 nt
Organism: Magallana angulata
Lineage: Eukaryota; Metazoa; Mollusca; Bivalvia; Ostreida; Ostreidae
Exons: 3
Source: RefSeq, a predicted model, not a curated record